This 492-nucleotide ribosomal RNA is filed under the name uncultured bacterium. RNAcentral's name for it is "partial 16S ribosomal RNA". It matches the Rfam family "Bacterial small subunit ribosomal RNA", at positions 29 to 507 of the family's 1533-position model. The record is from RNAcentral.
AGUGAACGCUGGCGGUAGGCCUAACACAUGCAAGUCGAACGGCAGCACAGUAAGAGCUUGCUCUUACGGGUGGCGCGUGGCGGACGGGUGAGGAAUACAUCGGAAUCUACUUUUUCGUGGGGGAUAACGUAGGGAAACUUACGCUAAUACCGCAUACGACCUACGGGUGAAAGCAGGGGAUCUUCGGACCUUGCGCGAUUGAAUGAGCCGAUGUCGGAUUAGCUAGUUGGCGGGGUAAAGGCCCACCAAGGCGACGAUCCGUAGCUGGUCUGAGAGGAUGAUCAGCCACACUGGAACUGAGACACGGUCCAGACUCCUACGGGAGGCAGCAGUGGGGAAUAUUGGACAAUGGGCGCAAGCCUGAUCCAGCCAGACCGCGUGGGUGAAGAAGGCCUUCGGGUUGUAAAGCCCUUUUGUUGGGAAAGAAAAGCAGCAGGUUAAUACCCCGCUGUUCUGACGGUACCCAAAGAAUAAGCACCGGCUAACUUCGUG